UUUGGCCGUCCGAGUUGUAGUCUGGAGAAGUGCUUUCCGCGCUGGACCGUGUACAAGUCUCUUGGAACAGAGCGUCAUAGAGGGUGAGAAUCCCGUCUUUGACACGGACUACCAGUGCUUUGUGAUGCGCUCUCAAAGAGUCGAGUUGUUUGGGAAUGCAGCUCAAAAUGGGUGGUGAAUUCCAUCUAAAGCUAAAUAUUGGCGAGAGACCGAUAGCGAACAAGUACCGUGAGGGAAAGAUGAAAAGCACUUUGGAAAGAGAGUUAAACAGUACGUGAAAUUGCUGAAAGGGAAACGCUUGAAGUCAGUCGCGUCGUCCGGAACUCAGCCUUGCUUCGGCUUGGUGCACUUUCCGGAUGACGGGCCAGCAUCGAUUUUGACCGCCGGAAAAGGGUAGGAGAAAUGUGGCACCUUCGGGUGUGUUAUAGUCUCCUAUCGCAUACGGCGGUUGGGAUCGAGGAACGCAGCGCGCCUUAUGGCUGGGGUUCGCCCACAUUCGCGCUUAGGAUGCUGGCAUAAUGGCUUUAAACGACCCGUCUUGAAACACGGAC
RNAcentral lists this ribosomal RNA (551 nucleotides) under Trametes polyzona. RNAcentral describes it as "eukaryotic LSU rRNA". It matches the Rfam family "Eukaryotic large subunit ribosomal RNA", at positions 129 to 666 of the family's 3401-position model. The record is from RNAcentral. Lineage: Eukaryota; Fungi; Basidiomycota; Agaricomycetes; Polyporales; Polyporaceae.